GAUGAACGCUAGCGGCAGGCCUAACAUAUGCAAGUCGAGCGGGAUCCACCUUCGGGUGGUGGGAGCGGCGCACGGGUGCGUAACGCGUAUGCAACCUACAUUUUGCUACGGGCUAGCCCAGGGAAACUUGGAUUAACUCCGUAUAGUAUGCGGUGUCCUCGUGGGGGCUGUAUUAAUGGCUACGACCAACGAUGGGCAUGCGGCCUAUUCGAUAGGUGGUAAGGUAACGGCUUACCAUGGCUACGAUAGGUAGGGGCCUUGAGAGGCGGAUCCCCCACACUGGUACUGAGACACGGACCAGACUCCUACGGGGGGCAGCAGUGAGGAAUAUUGGACAAUGGGCGGAAGCCUGAUCCAGCCAUGCCGCGUGCAGGAAGACGGACCUAUGGGUUGUAAACUGCUUUUGUACGGGAAUAAACACCCCCUCGUGAGGGGGCUUGACGGUACCGUAAGAAUAAGGAUCGGCUAACUCCGUGCCAGCAGUCGCCGUAA
This 492-nucleotide ribosomal RNA is filed under the name uncultured bacterium. RNAcentral's name for it is "partial 16S ribosomal RNA". It matches the Rfam family "Bacterial small subunit ribosomal RNA", at positions 28 to 523 of the family's 1533-position model. The record is from RNAcentral.